UGGGGAAUAUUGCACAAUGGGCGAAAGCCUGAUGCAGCGACGCCGCGUGAGGGAUGACGGCCUUCGGGUUGUAAACCUCUUUCAGCUCCGACGAAGCGAAAGUGACGGUAGGGGCAGAAGAAGCACCGGCCAACUACGUGCCAGCAGCCGCGGUAAUACGUAGGGUGCAAGCGUUGUCCGGAAUUAUUGGGCGUAAAGAGCUCGUAGGCGGCUUGUCGCGUCGGCUGUGAAAACCUGGGGCUCAACCCCGGGCCUGCAGCCGAUACGGGCAAGCUAGAAUUCGGUAGGGGAGACUGGAAUUCCUGGUGUAGCGGUGAAAUGCGCAGAUAUCAGGAGGAACACCGGUGGCGAAGGCGGGUCUCUGGGCCGAUAUUGACGCUGAGGAGCGAAAGCGUGGGGAGCGAACA
RNAcentral lists this ribosomal RNA (407 nucleotides) under uncultured Jatrophihabitans sp. RNAcentral's name for it is "bacterial SSU rRNA". It matches the Rfam family "Bacterial small subunit ribosomal RNA", at positions 355 to 774 of the family's 1533-position model. The record is from RNAcentral. Lineage: Bacteria; Bacillati; Actinomycetota; Actinomycetes; Jatrophihabitantales; Jatrophihabitantaceae.